AGUGAACGCUGGCGGUAGGCCUAACACAUGCAAGUCGAACGGCAGCACAGUAAGAGCUUGCUCUUACGGGUGGCGAGUGGCGGACGGGUGAGGAAUACAUCGGAAUCUACUUUUUCGUGGGUGAUAACGUAGGGAAACUUACGCUAAUACCGCAUACGACCUACGGGUGAAAGCAGGGGAUCUUCGGACCUUUCGCGAUUGAAUGAGCCGAUGCCGGAUUAGCUAGGUGGCAGGGUAAAGGCCCACCAAGGCGACGAUCCGUAGCUGGUCUGAGAGGAUGGUCGGUCACACGGGAACUGAGACACGGUACAGACUCCUACGGGAGGCAGCAGUAGGGAAGCUUCCGCAAUGGGCGAAGGCCUGACGGAGCAACGCCGCGUGAGUGAUGAAGGUCUUCGGAUCGUAAAACGCUGUUAUUAGGGAAGAACAAAAGUGUAAGGAACUAUGCACGUCUGGACGGGACCUAAUCAGAAAGCCACGGCUAACUACGUG
RNAcentral lists this ribosomal RNA (492 nucleotides) under uncultured bacterium. Its description in RNAcentral is "partial 16S ribosomal RNA". It matches the Rfam family "Bacterial small subunit ribosomal RNA", at positions 29 to 507 of the family's 1533-position model. The record is from RNAcentral.